UCGGCUCCGGUUCACGUACGAGCAAUCCGCGCGUGCGACCCGGCGCC
RNAcentral lists this non-coding RNA (47 nucleotides) under Streptomyces odonnellii. RNAcentral's name for it is "L31-Actinobacteria ribosomal protein leader". It matches the Rfam family "L31-Actinobacteria ribosomal protein leader". Lineage: Bacteria; Bacillati; Actinomycetota; Actinomycetes; Kitasatosporales; Streptomycetaceae. The record is from RNAcentral.